Molecule: small nucleolar RNA, 107 nt
Filed under: Gossypium hirsutum (cotton)
Lineage: Eukaryota; Viridiplantae; Streptophyta; Magnoliopsida; Malvales; Malvaceae
Description: Plant small nucleolar RNA R71
Rfam family: Plant small nucleolar RNA R71
About the family: R71 is a member of the C/D box family of snoRNAs containing the C (UGAUGA) and D (CUGA) box motifs. Multiple nearly identical copies of this snoRNA have been identified in Arabidopsis, and it is thought to function as a 2'-O-ribose methylation guide for 18S ribosomal RNA.
Source: Rfam by way of RNAcentral
AACCCAUGCAUCGGACACUUCCGCAGUAAUUUUUUAAAUCUUUCACAAGCUUCAUAUAGUGCUUCAUCCUCUGAUUGCUGAAAAGACGUGAUGUCAUUUCUAAGCUU